UUGAAGGAAAAAAGAAUUGAGUCAUCAGAAGAAGCUGUGCGGUUAUCUGAUGAUGAGUGUGACUUACAAGUGUAAAAUAGAUUUGUUAUCAAAUCUAGAUGAUGUAAAAUAAAAAAUCAUAAAGUGACAACAUCUUAUAUAAUACCUAAAGCGUGAAUAGCAAAUAAUAACCCGUAAAAGAGAGUAAUCCAGUUCACGACAUAUCUUUG
Molecule: long non-coding RNA, 209 nt
Filed under: Capsella rubella
Lineage: Eukaryota; Viridiplantae; Streptophyta; Magnoliopsida; Brassicales; Brassicaceae
Description: long non-coding RNA (CRUB_LNC003742)
Source: RNAcentral